RNAcentral lists this ribosomal RNA (464 nucleotides) under uncultured bacterium. RNAcentral's name for it is "partial 16S ribosomal RNA". It matches the Rfam family "Bacterial small subunit ribosomal RNA", at positions 339 to 795 of the family's 1533-position model. The record is from RNAcentral.
CUACGGGAUGCUGCAGUGGGGAGUUUUGGACAAUGGGGGCAACCCUGAUCCAGCCAUUCCGCGUGAGUGAAGAAGGCCUUCGGGUUGUAAAGCUCUUUCGGCAGGAACGAAACGGCGGGCUCUAACAUAGCCUGUCAAUGACGGUACCUGAAGAAGAAGCACCGGCUAACUACGUGCCAGCAGCCGCGGUAAUACGUAGGGUGCGAGCGUUAAUCGGAAUUACUGGGCGUAAAGCGUGCGCAGGCGGUUAUGUAAGACAGAUGUGAAAUCCCCGGGCUUAACCUGGGAACUGCGUUUGUGACUGCAUAACUCGAGUGUGGCAGAGGGGGGUGGAAUUCCACGUGUAGCAGUGAAAUGCGUAGAGAUGUGGAGGAACACCGAUGGCGAAGGCAGCCCCCUGGGUUAACACUGACGCUCAUGCACGAAAGCGUGGGGAGCAAACAGGAUUAGAUACCCCGGUAGUC